This 505-nucleotide ribosomal RNA is filed under the name uncultured bacterium. RNAcentral's name for it is "partial 16S ribosomal RNA". It matches the Rfam family "Bacterial small subunit ribosomal RNA", at positions 28 to 507 of the family's 1533-position model. The record is from RNAcentral.
GACGAACGCUGGCGGCGUGCCUAAUACAUGCAAGUAGAACGCACAGUUUAUACCGUAGCUUGCUACACCAUAGACUGUGAGUUGCGAACGGGUGAGUAACGCGUAGGUAACCUGCCUGGUAGCGGGGGAUAACUAUUGGAAACGAUAGCUAAUACCGCAUACUAUUGAUUAUUGCCUGAUAAUUGAUUGAAAGUUGCUAUUGCAUCACUACCAGAUGGACCUGCGUUGUAUUAGCUAGUAGGUGAGGUAACGGCUCACCUAGGCGACGAUACAUAGCCGACCUGAGAGGGUGAUCGGCCACACUGGGACGGAGACACGGCCCAGACUCCUGCGGGAGGCAGCAGUAGCGAAUCUUCGGCAAUGGACGAAAGUCUGACCGAGCAACGCCGCGUGAGUGAAGAAGGUUGUCGGAUCGUAAAGCUCUGUUGUAAGAGAAGAACGGGUGCGAGUGUGGAAAGUUCACACAGUGACGGUAUCUUACCAGAAAGGGACGGCUAACUACGUG